GCCUCAGUAGCUCAGUAGUAGAGCGUCUGCAUGGUAAGCAGAAGGCCGCGGGUGCGAUUCCCGUCUGAGGCU
Molecule: transfer RNA, 72 nt
Filed under: Candidatus Mancarchaeum acidiphilum
Lineage: Archaea; Nanobdellati; Microcaldota
Description: Candidatus Micrarchaeota archaeon Mia14 tRNA
Rfam family: tRNA
About the family: Transfer RNA (tRNA) molecules are approximately 80 nucleotides in length. Their secondary structure includes four short double-helical elements and three loops (D, anti-codon, and T loops). Further hydrogen bonds mediate the characteristic L-shaped molecular structure. tRNAs have two regions of fundamental functional importance: the anti-codon, which is responsible for specific mRNA codon recognition, and the 3' end, to which the tRNAs corresponding amino acid is attached (by aminoacyl-tRNA synthetases). tRNAs cope with the degeneracy of the genetic code in two manners: having more than one tRNA (with a specific anti-codon) for a particular amino acid; and 'wobble' base-pairing, i.e. permitting non-standard base-pairing at the 3rd anti-codon position.
Source: Rfam by way of RNAcentral